Molecule: ribosomal RNA, 254 nt
Filed under: uncultured bacterium
Lineage: Bacteria
Description: partial 16S ribosomal RNA
Rfam family: Bacterial small subunit ribosomal RNA
Source: RNAcentral
UACGUAGGGUGCGAGCGUUGUCCGGAAUUAUUGGGCGUAAAGAGCUCGUAGGCGGUGUGUCGCGUCGGCCGUGAAAACCUGCAGCUUAACCGUGGGCUUGCGGUCGAUACGGGCAUCACUGGAGUUCGGCAGGGGAGACUGGAAUUCCUGGUGUAGCGGUGAAAUGCGCAGAUAUCAGGAGGAACACCGGUGGCGAAGGCGGGUCGCUGGGCCGAUACUGACGCUGAGGAGCGAAAGCGUGGGGAGCGAACAGG